GUAUACAUCCAUACCACCCUGAACGCACCGGAUCUUGUCUGAUCUCGGAAGCUAAGCAGGGUUAAGCCUAGUUAGUAUAUGUA
This is a ribosomal RNA of Rhinopithecus bieti (black snub-nosed monkey), 83 nucleotides long. NCBI's taxonomy places the organism in Eukaryota, Metazoa, Chordata, Mammalia, Primates, Cercopithecidae. The record is from Ensembl.